CCUAGAUGGAGGAUAGAGCCCUGACCCCCAGGGAGUGAAGCUUGUGACCCAGAUGCCCCACGUUGGAAACCGAGGACACAGUUCUGAGUCGCUACCCAGGCCCCUGCCUAUGCCCCAAUGGGCAUGUUUCCCCUCUGAUCACCAUCUUCACAAUAUUUCACCCAUGGGGGUGGAGUGCAGUCUCUGCCGAAAGCGAAGAACUCACUGGUUGUCCUGGCUCUCGCAGGAGCAGGGAACUAUGCAGUCUGGAAAACCUGGAGGUGAGGAGAGAGAGAGACACUGGUCUUUACCCAAGAGAGGGGCCUAGAGGCUAGAAUGGAUGCCCUUGCUAAACCCUGGAGGGGGAAUACAGGGAAAGUCCAUGGAUCUUGUCCCACUCUGCUACAGCCUGGAUACUGCUGAGGUUGCUUCUGGCUGGAAGAAAACAAAGCCAAGAGUCUUAUCUACAACACAUCCCUGAAGAAACACUACGCCUUUGUGCAGAUAACACAAUUGAGCAAACUCGGCAAUGCUAAAAGGGCUGAACUUUUAACAUUUGCACUGCAAGCACCUUUCUGAGGAAUUACAGAGCCACCCACAGUGACAGCAAAAUGGACACAUU
Molecule: long non-coding RNA, 601 nt
Organism: Mauremys reevesii (Reeves's turtle)
Lineage: Eukaryota; Metazoa; Chordata; Testudines; Geoemydidae
Exons: 3
Source: RefSeq, a predicted model, not a curated record